Molecule: unclassified non-coding RNA, 399 nt
Filed under: soil metagenome
Description: partial contains 5.8S ribosomal RNA, internal transcribed spacer 2, and large subunit ribosomal RNA
Rfam family: 5.8S ribosomal RNA (bases 1-122)
Source: RNAcentral
GAUGAAGAACGCAGCGAAAUGCGAUACUUGGUGUGAAUUGCAGAAUCCCGUGAACCAUCGAGUCUUUGAACGCAAGUUGCGCCUCAAGCCAUUAGGUUGAGGGCACGUCUGCCUGGGCGUCACAUAUCGUUGCCUGAUGCCAGUUUCCUCGUGAUGGGUGACUGUGCAGGGCGAAUGAUGGCUUCCCGUGAGCAUUGUUGCCUCAUGGUUGGUUGAAAAUUGAGUCCUUGGUAGGGAGCGCCGUGAUAGAUGGUGGUUGAGUGACGAACGAGACCCAAUCAUGUGAGACCCCUACCGAAUUUGGCCUUCAUGACCCACAUGCGUCUUUGGAACGCUCAUGACGAGACCUCAGGUCAGGCGGGGCUACCCGCUGAGUUUAAGCAUAUAAUAAGCGGAGGA